GUCAUCUCCCUCGAUGGGAGAGCAGCCUUGCAGAGAAGGCUGGGCAUAACCAACUGUGUGAAAUUCUACAAAAGUAUUGAAAAAGUAUUGACAAGCCAAGCUCUUUCCUUUUGCUUUUCAGGUUACGUGAGGAUAGAAGCCAGAUUUUCCCAUCAGGGUUUUGUUUUGGUUCAAAGCUUUGCGAAAGGAACAAGCUGCUACGCAUCACCUCCUCUUGCCAUUGGUACAUGCAAGGCAACUCACUCCUCUCUCAUGGGCUGUUAGCCCUUCUGAAUUACAUCGUAUAUAUUGUGUGAUGGGAGCACACACAUAACCUGUUACUGGGCACCUCCACGGCGCAAACAUCCAUCUCUGAAUACCUAUCUCAUCUGCUUAAAUUAAAUCCCUGCUUCAGAGGAGAACUUCAGCUUUAGGAAACAGCUUCUGUUGUUCUGUGACUGCAGCUCGUAUCCUCACGUGCAACAAGAGACCAGUGCUCAAAAAGCUGGGAUAACCAUGCUAUUGAAUCAGGAAUAAUCUCCAGUUGCAGACAGAAAUGUAAGAGGAAUGCAUGUAUUCAGUGCUUCGGCUUCUUGCUCUUUCUGUGAGAUAUAUACCAUUUCCCACUGAGAUGAGUAGGUGUUAUACAGUCCCCAGCAGCGAGCAGAAAGUCUCCGAGGGAAGAACGAGUGCAUUUUCAAUCCUCACAGCAACAAAUCACACCCAUUCAGAAAUGCAGAGGAGCCAACAGAAGAUCUCUCCCAGUCGUAUUGCUUGCAUCUCUAAUUACAACUGCUGAUGUGGUGGUGGAUGGGGUGAUGAAGAAGGGGUGUCUGGCUCUGCUCCCAUCUGUGUCACUGGAGGAGUCAUCAGGAAAGAGCUCCUGUAAGCCAACAUCAGCUUCAAAUGAUGCUUCGAUUUCUCAGCUCCACGAGUCUUGUUAAUAAAGGAUGUGAAAUUGAAUUGGAAUUUCA
This 953-nucleotide long non-coding RNA is filed under the name Phasianus colchicus (ring-necked pheasant). Its description in RNAcentral is "lncRNA (ENSPCLG00000004679.1)". Lineage: Eukaryota; Metazoa; Chordata; Aves; Galliformes; Phasianidae. The record is from RNAcentral.